AACGAACGCUGGCGGCAUGCCUAACACAUGCAAGUCGAACGAGAUCUUCGGGUCUAGUGGCGCACGGGUGCGUAACGCGUGGGAAUCUGCCCUUUGGUUCGGAAUAACAGUUGGAAACGACUGCUAAUACCGGAUGAUGACGAAAGUCCAAAGAUUUAUCGCCAGAGGAUGAGCCCGCGUAGGAUUAGCUAGUUGGUGUGGUAGAGGCGCACCAAGGCGACGAUCCUUAGCUGGUCUGAGAGGAUGAUCAGCCACACUGGGACUGAGACACGGCCCAGACUCCUACGGGAGGCAGCAGUGGGGAAUAUUGGACAACGGGCGAAAGCCUGAUCCAGCAAUGCCGCGUGAGUGAUGAAGGCCUUAGGGUUGUAAAGCUCUUUUACCCGGGAUGAUAAUGACAGUACCGGGAGAAUAAGCUCCGGCUAACUCCGUGCCAGCCGCCGCGGUAA
Molecule: ribosomal RNA, 449 nt
Filed under: uncultured bacterium
Lineage: Bacteria
Description: partial 16S ribosomal RNA
Rfam family: Bacterial small subunit ribosomal RNA
Source: RNAcentral